UAAGCUGUGAAAGUCUGUACCUUUCUCAUCUUCUCUAAACAGAUCAAAAACUCUGUUUGAUAAAAGAGAGUGGUAUCAUUGUGCUGCAAUGGAAAAUAAAGUGUUGAUGUGUGUGGCAAUUUGCGCACUUCUUGCUGCAAGUGUGAGCGGAGAGCCAGCGAAAGCGGACUUGACCUCUGCCUUGAAGAGUGGCGGUGGAUUCCUGAAUGAACGUGCAGAUGAAGAGAUUCAAGCCGUUCCAAUGAGGAAGAAGAGAGGCGGUAGUGGCAGUUCCUCAUCAUCCUCCAGCCGAUAGAAGAGACAAGUUAUAACACCGGCAGAAGAUCAUCUACUUAUUUUUUUUUUGACAAUAUCAAUGACCUGAACAGUUGAUUUCCAAAAGUUGAUAUUCUGUUGAUCUUCUACUGUUUUACUCAGUCUCUUCUUUUUUUUUUCAAUGAUCUAAACAGUUGGUUUCCGAAUGUUGAUAUUCUGUUUCAAUGAAAAAAUAAUUUGCACACUAUUAG
Mercenaria mercenaria is the source of this 506-nucleotide long non-coding RNA. RefSeq lists it as uncharacterized. The transcript is spliced from 3 exons. Lineage: Eukaryota; Metazoa; Mollusca; Bivalvia; Venerida; Veneridae. The record is from RefSeq and is a predicted model, not a curated record.